Molecule: ribosomal RNA, 176 nt
Filed under: Vanilla planifolia
Lineage: Eukaryota; Viridiplantae; Streptophyta; Magnoliopsida; Asparagales; Orchidaceae
Description: partial 5.8S ribosomal RNA
Rfam family: 5.8S ribosomal RNA (bases 1-155)
About the family: 5.8S ribosomal RNA (5.8S rRNA) is a component of the large subunit of the eukaryotic ribosome.
Source: RNAcentral
GACUCUCGACAACGGAUAUCUUGGCUCUCGCAUCGAUGAAGAACGCAGCGAAAUGCGAUACGUGUUGUGAAUUGUAGAAUCCCGUGAACCAUCCAUUUUUUGAACGCAAGUUGCGCCCGAGGAUGCAAGCCGAGGGCACGCCUGCAUGGGUGUAGUGCGACUCGUCGCUCCUUGCG